GAUGAACGCUGGCGGCGUGCCUAAUACAUGCAAGUCGAGCGAACGGACGAGAAGCUUGCUUCUCUGAUGUUAGCGGCGGACGGGUGAGUAACACGUGGAUAACCUACCUAUAAGACUGGGAUAACUUCGGGAAACCGGAGCUAAUACCGGAUGAUAUUUUGAACCGCAUGGUUCAAAAGUGAAAGACGGUCUUGCUGUCACUUAUAGAUGGAUCCGCGCUGCAUUAGCUAGUUGGUAAGGUAACGGCAUACCAAGGCAACUAUGCAUAGCCGACCUCAGAGGGUGAUCGCAGACGUGGGAAGGGAGACACACUCCAGACUGCUGCGAAAAGGAACAGUAUAAUACCUGCCGCAAAGGGCGAAAACCUGACGGAGCAACGCUGCGCGUGCAGUGACGAUACACGGAUCGUAAAACAGUGUUAUUAGGGAAAAACAUAUGUGUAAAUAACUGAGCACAUCUUGACGGUACCUAAUCAGAAAGCCACGGCUAACUACGUG
Molecule: ribosomal RNA, 497 nt
Filed under: uncultured bacterium
Lineage: Bacteria
Description: partial 16S ribosomal RNA
Rfam family: Bacterial small subunit ribosomal RNA
Source: RNAcentral